This 484-nucleotide ribosomal RNA is filed under the name uncultured bacterium. RNAcentral describes it as "partial 16S ribosomal RNA". It matches the Rfam family "Bacterial small subunit ribosomal RNA", at positions 29 to 523 of the family's 1533-position model. The record is from RNAcentral.
AGUGAACGCUGGCGGCGUGCUUAACACAUGCAAGUCGAACGAGAACGGAGUAUAGCUUGCUAUAAUUGUCAGCUAAGUGGCGCACGGGUGAGUAAUGUAUAGGUAAUAUGCCUAUCACUAAGGGAUAACAAAUGGAAACGUUUGCUAAUACCUUAUACUCCUUAUUAACAUAAGUUAAUAAGGGAAAGAUUUAUUGGUAAGAGAUUAGCCUGUAUUGUAUCAGUUAGUUGGUGGGGUAAUGGCUUACCAAGACUAUGACAGAUAACUGGUUUGAGAGGAUGAUCAGUCACACUGAAACUGAGACACGGUCCAGACUCUUACGGGAGGCAGCAGUGGGUAAUAUUGCACAAUGGACGGAAGUCUGAUGCAGCAACGCCGCGUGGAGGAUGACACAUUUCGGUGCGUAAACUCCUUUUAUAUGAGAAGAUAAUGACGGUAUUAUAUGAAUAAGCACCGGCUAACUCCGUGCCAGCCGCCGCCGUAA